This 254-nucleotide ribosomal RNA is filed under the name uncultured bacterium. Its description in RNAcentral is "partial 16S ribosomal RNA". It matches the Rfam family "Bacterial small subunit ribosomal RNA", at positions 524 to 776 of the family's 1533-position model. The record is from RNAcentral.
UACGUAGGGGGCGAGCGUUGUCCGGAUUCAUUGGGCGUAAAGAGCUCGUAGGCGGCUUGGUAAGUCGGGUGUGAAACCUCCAGGCUCAACCUGGAGACGCCACUCGAUACUGCCAUGGCUAGAGUCCGGUAGGGGCCCACGGAAUUCCUGGUGUAGCGGUGAAAUGCGCAGAUAUCAGGAGGAACACCGGUGGCGAAGGCGGUGGGCUGGGCCGUUACUGACGCUGAGACGCGAAAGCGUGGGGAGCAAACAGG